ACCCCUCUGGUGUAUCGGUUAACGUAGCGGGUUCUCGUUCCGUCGCGCAGGGUUCGACUCCCUGGGUGGGGGG
Non-coding RNA from Cercophora sp. LCS_1, 73 nucleotides. Lineage: Eukaryota; Fungi; Ascomycota; Sordariomycetes; Sordariales; Lasiosphaeriaceae. The record is from the annotation of a GenBank genome assembly.